GUAACGACUCAAAUUUAUUAUUCACUAUGUAAGUGUUUAAUUAUUUGAUGACGUGGUUUUUAAGUAAGAUAGUAACUUUAAGUUAUUUAUCGAUGGUUUUAGUUAACGCACGAGUUAGUGAGAGUUAACGCGAGUUGGGCCAAGCUAUUGGGCUUGAGGCCCAAUGGGCCUUGGACUUAAGGUGGGGGGCGCUAUAUGAAGCCCUUAGAGAGAGAAAGAAUUCAUUUUUCUUGUUUUUGGGAGAAGUAGAGAGAAGGGAGAGCAAGAGGAGCUAGGGCAAGAGCUUGAAGGAGAGAUUCGAGGAGCAAUCUUCGUGAGUUCGUCGAUCCAAGGUAAGAGAGUAGAUUUCAUAUUCGUGGGUGACUCGAGNNNAACUUCCUCCACCCCAUUUUCAUUUUAGUUGUGAAUGGAUUUUCUUAAUGGAAAUCGAUUCUAAGGUUCAUAACAUGUUUAAUAUGCUCUUAUCAUGAUGUUUGAACGAAUUUAAUGGUUAAAAACGAAGUUUAUGAAUGAUUAAACUCAAGAACUUUGUGUUCUUGAGAGUUUUCAGUAAAAGUGUUAAAUCCUUACUUUUUCGUAGUAAAAAUAGUAGAUCGGUGAAAUGAAC
Molecule: long non-coding RNA, 607 nt
Filed under: Trifolium pratense (red clover)
Lineage: Eukaryota; Viridiplantae; Streptophyta; Magnoliopsida; Fabales; Fabaceae
Description: long non-coding RNA (TPRA_LNC008011)
Source: RNAcentral